This 253-nucleotide ribosomal RNA is filed under the name uncultured bacterium. Its description in RNAcentral is "partial 16S ribosomal RNA". It matches the Rfam family "Bacterial small subunit ribosomal RNA", at positions 524 to 776 of the family's 1533-position model. The record is from RNAcentral.
GACAGAGGGGGCAAGCGUUGCUCGGAAUCACUGGGCGUAAAGGGCGCGUAGGCGGCCUGCUAAGUCGAACGUGAAAUCCCUGGGCUCAACCCAGGAACUGCGUCCGAUACUGGUUGGCUUGAAUCCGGGAGAGGGAUGCGGAAUUCCAGGUGUAGCGGUGAAAUGCGUAGAUAUCUGGAGGAACACCGGUGGCGAAGGCGGCAUCCUGGACCGGCAUUGACGCUGAGGCGCGAAAGCCAGGGGAGCAAACGGG